Molecule: transfer RNA, 63 nt
Filed under: Acropora cervicornis
Lineage: Eukaryota; Metazoa; Cnidaria; Anthozoa; Scleractinia; Acroporidae
Description: tRNA-Thr
Source: RNAcentral
GGGAUAGCUCAACUGGUAGAGCCCUGCACUGGUAUUGCAGAGGUUCAAUUCCCAUUCAAGCCU